CCUACGGGAGGCAGCAGUGGGGAAUAUUGGACAAUGGGCGCAAGCCUGAUCCAGCCAUGCCGCGUGAGUGAUGAAGGCCUUAGGGUUGUAAAGCUCUUUCGACGGGGACGCGGUACCCGUAGAAGAAGCCCCGGCUAACUUCGUGCCAGCAGCCGCGGUAAUACGAAGGGGGCUAGCGUUGCUCGGAAUCACUGGGCGUAAAGGGCGCGUAGGCGGCCAUUCAAGUCAGAGGUGAAAGCCCAAGGCUCAACCUUGGAACUGCCUUUGAUACUGUUUGGCUUGAGACCGGUAGAGGUAAGUGGAACUGCGAGUGUAGAGGUGAAAUUCGUAGAUAUUCGCAAGAACACCAGUGGCGAAGGCGGCUUACUGGACGGUCUGACGCUGAGGCGCGAAAGCGUGGGGAGCAAACAGGAUUAGAUACCCUUGUAGUC
This 431-nucleotide ribosomal RNA is filed under the name uncultured bacterium. Its description in RNAcentral is "partial 16S ribosomal RNA". It matches the Rfam family "Bacterial small subunit ribosomal RNA", at positions 338 to 795 of the family's 1533-position model. The record is from RNAcentral.